AAGUUUGCAGUCAUGAGCUAGUAAAAAUUAACCCUAGCAUAAGGUCCACAGUUUAGCUUGAAAAGCUAACAGCAUAUAAACCACAGACUGUCAUUGUACCAGAACAAAAGCAGUUACUGGGUGAUUGCUCACCAUUUAAGUACUGUGUUAGGAAUAAUAGUAUCUGGAUGAAGUGUAUCUAUUUUUCAAUAACUGCUUUGUGUGGAAAUACUAAUACAAGCUGAGCAAUUUGUAUUCUGAUGUGUUUUAGUUGGAGACUUCUGAAACACAAAUGGUUUCAAACUACUUCCUUCUACCCACACCUAGCCUGCUCCUCACUUAAAGGAAGACUGUCCCGGCACCCUGCCCUUGUCCCAAAUACAAAGCCAUAUCCCUGUGGAAAAAGAGCAAAGAUACCUCAAAAAUUCAAGCAGGUACAGCCAGAGGACACAUCCCUGUGGCACAGUUUUACAGAGUCCUCUCCUGUUUGAGGCUUUAAUAUACCUACUGCACAAGACAUCCUGCUUUGCUGGGAGAACCUCUCAUAAUCCUUUGGCCUGCUCUACUAUGAGGCCUGCAGGAGGACAGAGCAGAGGCUCUGGAGCUGAUGACUGCAGGAGGCUGAAGAAAAACACAUCAUGUCAGAGAGAGCCACACGAUAAUUUCCUAGAUGAUGACCUCAUAGAUAAUUUCAGCUUCUUUUCUGUUGUGGAAGUAAAUUUGGGUGAUAAAAAGUGAACAUAAUUUAAAAAAAAAAAAGUGCAAGAAAACUAAAAAUUUGAUGGAAUUAUAGGACAAGGAGAAGAUAAGGAAGGGACAAGGAAAGAUGGCUUAAAAAUCAGGGAUUGCUCUGCCUGUGCUCGAGGCCCACUCUGACACAGCACAACUUGGUGACCUGAACCAGCCUGCUGUGAAAGCUCAGGCUAAUCAAGAUUCUGGACUAUUGGAAGACUGGGAAUGAUGUUUCUGUUCAUGCUUCCAGCUACAACCCAGUCAACUUAAAAAACCAGGAUAAGUUCAUAAGAGUUUCUCUUUCCUUCCGUUAAAAGAUAUUGCACAUGUAUAUUUCAAAUAUAUGUGUGAUACACUGCUCAAGUCUUUGUAAUAAAAAUUGUAAUGUAAUAAAAAUAGUAAACUUAUUCUAA
Molecule: long non-coding RNA, 1124 nt
Filed under: Taeniopygia guttata (zebra finch)
Lineage: Eukaryota; Metazoa; Chordata; Aves; Passeriformes; Estrildidae
Description: lncRNA (ENSTGUG00000020948.1)
Source: RNAcentral